Molecule: small RNA, 27 nt
Filed under: Bombyx mori (domestic silkworm)
Lineage: Eukaryota; Metazoa; Arthropoda; Insecta; Lepidoptera; Bombycidae
Description: ovarian small RNA-6049
Source: RNAcentral
UACCGGUAAAGAGGACAGUGUUAAAGA